UGGGGAAUAUUGCACAAUGGGCGAAAGCCUGAUGCAGCAACGCCGCGUGAGUGAUGAAGGUCUUCGGAUUGUAAAGCUCUGUCUUUUGGACGAUAAUGGACGGUACCAAAGGAGGAAGCCACGGCUAACUACGUGCCAGCAGCCGCGGUAAUACGUAGGUGGCGAGCGUUGUCCGGAUUUACUGGGCGUAAAGGGUGCGUAGGCGGAUGUUUAAGUGAGAUGUGAAAUACCCGGGCUUAACUUGGGUGCUGCAUUUCAAACUGGAUAUCUAGAGUGCAGGAGAGGAGAAUGGAAUUCCUAGUGUAGCGGUGAAAUGCGUAGAGAUUAGGAAGAACACCAGUGGCGAAGGCGAUUCUCUGGACUGUAACUGACGCUGAGGCACGAAAGCGUGGUAGCAAACAGGAUUAGAUACCCUGGUA
This 419-nucleotide ribosomal RNA is filed under the name uncultured bacterium. Its description in RNAcentral is "partial 16S ribosomal RNA". It matches the Rfam family "Bacterial small subunit ribosomal RNA", at positions 355 to 792 of the family's 1533-position model. The record is from RNAcentral.